GCCCAGCACUCGGCCCCGGGUGUCGUCCCUGCUCUCGGCAGUCCGGCUCCUCUUUCCCUCCAGCUCAGGGCUGUGUUUCUUUGCAAAUGCUCCAGCGGGAGAACCUGCCCCUGAUACAACGGCGCUCUAGCAACAUGUUUGAGACCUGGGGACCGUGCACCCAUGGGAGCGACGAGGGCUGGGCAGCGCGAGAGGCUACAGGGCUGUGUGGCCUCCCGUCCCGGCAGGGUUUGGCUUGCAGGCCAAGCCCACGCUGUCCCACCUCCAAUCUGGACACCCCUGACCCGUGCCUCCUGCUCCAUCUGUCACCCCCUGCUCUUCACCAGCAAAUUCCCUGGGGAUGGGCAACAGGACCGUGCCCCAUGGGCUCCUCAUGCUGGGCCAGGUCCUGGCCCUGCAGCCCCUGCCCAUGCCCCAGCCCUGGGAGUCUUCCCCCUGCCAAUGGCCCUGCUGCCCUCUGCUCCCUUGCAAGGUGGGGCCCACACGGGCUCUGGGAUCCCCAUCCUAAAAGUGGUGCUCAGUCCCACCCAGCCUGAUGCUCAGCCCUCAUGUCUCCUCAGCACCAGAUGCCAGCUUGGGUGCAAAAUAGGUUCUGCCCCCCAUUAAAGGAUCCCCACCUUCCCCUCCAUUGGGGAGACCCUGCACCCGGGCUGGGAGCUGUGCUGGGGGCAAGCGACGUGAGGGGCCAGACGUGGCCACCGCACCUCCCCGCUGCCGUGAGUCUUUCCCCUGCCUGGGGAGUGGGACGGGUGGGUCUGUGGGUGGGGGUCUCGCCACAGGUGCCCUGUGCCCCUCCCAGCCCCACGCAGCACACAGGACCCUGGGGACAGUCUCCGUCUCCUGCCAACUCCAGGGGCCCUCCAAGGAGAAGGGAGGGUGUUGGGGUCAUCCCUCAAUCACAGGGACAGUCCUUCUCCAGUCCAAGUGUCUGGGGGGACCUGGGACCUGGAGGUGGGAGGUGGGGACUCCCCUGGGACAGGGGGGAACAACCAAGCCCUGGGAUCCCCAGGGCCCAGCUCUAGGAGCCCUGCCCGGCCCCGGGGCUCGGGAGGCCACCAGCCCUGCAUCAUGGGGAGAUGGGACCUCACUGCCCAAGGGAGCCCAUCGCCCCAGACGCACUUUCUUUCCCCAGGAGCUGAAAGGCCCCUGCGGGUACCGGCACCAGCAGCUGGAGCUGAAGGUGCUGCGGGCCCACCUGGCAGCCCAGGAACAGGACACAGAGGUACUCCUGUCCCGGUAGGUGUGGGGCUGGGAGGGACCGGGCUGUUCCCGGGGUGUGGCGCAGGGCUUGGGGCUGAACCCAGGGCCCGUCCCUGCUUCUGCGCGACUCUCUCUUUGGGGAAGGGCUGUUUUGUGGGACGGCGUCGUCAGUCUCCCUGAGCCCAAAAAUGUGUUUUGUCACCACAGUGCUUGGCAAAGGGAAGAGGAGCUCCUGGUGAGUUUGGUGGGGCUGAGGCCGGCAGGGCCGUGGGGCAAGGGAGGGAGCAGGCUGAGGCUGAGCUUGGCCAGCUGGGUAAAUCCAAGAGGAUGUGAAAGCAGGGAACAGAGUCCUGGCACCUUGCAUGUGGGGACAGGUGGGGCCUGGCUGGUGCCUCAGGCUGUGUCGCUGUUGGGUGCUGAGGCCUGAUAUGCUCGGUGCAGCCAUGGGCAUGAUGUGAUGGGCUGGGGCGAUUCUGGUGCAGACUCAAGUGGAGGAGCUCAGGAGGGAGAAUUGCGCCCUGGUGCUGGCCCUCCAGGGGCAGAGGAAGUAGGGCCAUGACAUGGAGGACCGCCCCAUGGAGGUGAGCCUGCCCUGUAUGCCCCUGCCCAGGGAGAGGGGGAGUGUGUGUGUGCCUGUGUGUGCCCAGGGAAGGCUGUGCCCCACUGUACCAGGCCUGCACUCGAGGGGCCGGGUGCUGCCCUGGCUCUGUGGGUGGAGGUCUUGUGUGUGCAGUGCUGGGCACCAUGUGAGCCUUGCGGGUGUCACACUGUAGGACUGGUGGGGUGAUAGGUCUGUGCUGCACCGACCUCCCCUGCUUCAUGGAUGGCUGUCCCCUGCCAUAGCCGCCCCCCAUCCUCUGCCAGGGGCCAGCUCUGGGCCAGGGGCUUGCAUUUUGUCCUCACUGCCGUAUGCUUUCUCCUUUGCAACAGCCUCCCGUGGAGGGGACAGCGGAGGUGUGCUGCCCAGCCUGGGAGGCAUAAGUGGGGCACAGAGAGGGGAGUGUGAGGUGCGGGGCCCUCAUGGGUAACUCAUGGGCGGUGGGGCAGGCUCUGCAGUGCUGCAAGUGGUGCUUCUCACAUCUUGGGGGCUUGUUCCUUCCCGGGUGCUGGCGGGGAUGAAUUCAGUCUGGGAUCCAUUUCUGACCAGUUCCUUUCUGUGCAAUCAGGAGCAUUAGCACCCACCAGGACAAGGGGGCAGGGUCCCAAGUGCAUGCUGGGACCCAGACCAUCCUUCCCCCAAGACCAGAAGCCAGCACCCAGGCAGAGGGCCCCCACCUGGUGCACACCAGCACCCAAACCAGGGCCCUCUGCCUGGGUGAUGUGGGUGCACAGAGGCUCGCUGUCCAAAUCCAGGAGGACACAGGGAGAGGUGGAAACGCCCCUCCAAGAUCAUGGAGCAGGGGACACAGACCGCUCCUCUUCCCCCUACAAUGGAGGCCAGCACCCAGGCAGAGGGCCCUAGACACGGGGACACCUCCACCCAGUGUAGGGCCCUCUGCCUGGUAGAUGUGGGCUGUGACCCCCCGCCACACUUGUCAGUGAAGACAAUUGAAUUUCAAGGUCCAAAAAAACCGGGACAGCGUGAAAGGUUCCAGCUCACCUGGCUGCUCCCCUGCUGCUUCACCCAACGGAGGUGAAGCCCUGCACUCCUCCCCUCCCCGCCCACCCCUGUUGUCCCCUCCCUACGUCCAUCGUCCCCUGCCUGAUCUGGGAUGGGCCCAACUGGACUGGCUGACGUGUGGAAGAGAGACGUAUUGGUUCUGUGACAUGAUUCUCUUCUCCUGAUGCCAAGAGGAACCCCUCUCCAGGAAACCUCUGGAUUGCAGGGUCUGACCCAAGACUGGGAGGAGAUGGCUGCUCUCCACAGUAUGCUCUCCCUGCACAAUAAGCAGGGCGAGGGACUGGAGUCUCCAGUAACUUGCAUAGGUUGUCUCACUGCACCAGGGCAGCUUUGGCUUUCACAAGCAGCUUUGAAGGUCCAGUCAUCAGUUGGGAUGCCUCUGUCCCUGCAGAUAGCCCUUGACAUUCCGAGCGCUUUCGAAGCCAAGCCCCAAGUGUCUUCCAUGGGAGAAAGACGCAAAAUCGCCCCAAGCCUUCCAACAGAUGAAUGAGUCUGAAAUGUGGUGUUGCACUUCCAUGGUACUUGUAAGAUCCUAGAAAGACCAGCAAUGAACUGCAGCAUACCACAAGUACCUGAAGACUGGGGUUGUGAAGGGAGCAAGAAAAUGGCAGGUUUUGUGACAUGCACAAGGGAGAACCCAGAUGUGAUUUACUUGCCUAGUGUGCUGGUGUGGGAAAUAUGCUAAGAUGCAUGCCAGCUGUGGGGUUCCCUCCUGGGGAGCUGCCUUUCCUUCAGGAACCUGUGCAAAACACCAGCCUGCCAAGAACAAGACUACCCAGCUAAUCUGUCAUCGUUACGGCGGUGCCAAACUCUGCCUGCAAAUGCGUGCGAGUAGUUCCCGUCACUUGUCUCUAAUUGUGAUCUAGUCAUCUUUCCCAUUUAUAGCUGUUUCCACUGUUUUCAGAUGCCUGUUUUCUUGCUGGGCUUGCCAGUUUUUGGAGGAUGGCCUGCAGCUUUAGACCAUUUGUCUGAUGGUGUUGUGACAUAACAUCAGUACAUUAGGCCAAAUUUAGUGCUGCUGUGCAAGACCACCAUCACGUCCCAGGACAGGUGUGCCUGCGUGACAUUCUUUGGCCCUGAAAUCAUUCUGCAGUUGGUAAAAUCCUCAGGGCUGUUCAGAACAGGAUGAGCAAGCCUCUGUUUUCAUAAUCCUUGUAUGCUUCUGGCAUCCCAUGGGUACAGCCUGGAAGUCUGUAGAGCUCCUUAGCUCAAGUGUCUUCUCACAGUUACAAUCCACCUCUAUUUGUCUCUCACCUGAGAUGCUAGUACUGUCCAGUAGAAAGAUGAUGUCAUUAUCCAUAAGGGUCUGCCAUAGUUUAAGUCACAAGUGCUAGCUGUACUAUCAAUUAUUAUCUGAUCUGUACAUGCUAGUUGUAGACAUGGAUGCGCCACAUUACAUCAGAUAUAUUCUAACCCUAUGUUUCUAUUCAGCGAUAUGCCUUCAUCUAAUACUGCAAUUUCUGUCAGGCCUUGUGAGCUGAGCAGUCACUUUUUGGGUGGGAGCCCAAGGAUGCCUAUAUACUGUAGGAAGCAGUCUUGGUAAUUCAGUCGGCGGCAGUCCUAGUAAGCAGGGUUGACCUAGGUGCCCUUCAUGGUGCCAGGGGGCAUUGAGCUGCUGUUGUGAAUUGUGGAGCUGAGCUACCACCUGUGUGGCCAUUAAAGAGCUUUUGCCGGUUUACGUGAGAGUAACCCCCAUGCCAUGGCCAGGCUCUGCUUUGGGUAACUACAGUCUGAAACCUGGGUCCCCCAGGAGUUUCAGUUUGAUGCAACAUCCUUUUUCCCUUAUUGUCCCUUGUCGCUGAGCUUUGUAUCAUUGCAGUUGGCUGCAUCCACAGGGGCAAUGGUAGCUCGCCAGUAGGUGAUGCGAUUCAUGUCUGAAGUUGGUGAGCCCAUAUCAUCCUGAAAAUGAUUUGGGAUGAACAACAGCUGUUUAAUUGUAAAGCUCUGCCCAGUGCCCCGAGUUUUCAAGAUGACUUCCUCUGGGAUUCGUGCACAGAACCCACAUCUCGCGUCAGAGACAAACUGCAGGCCUAUAAUGACACUGCCAUGGAAGAGGUUUACCCUUUUGUGUUUUUCAGCUCAGUUAUAAGUAUAAAAAGAUCCAGGCAAGCAUUGUGUCCUUUUACCACAGAUAACUGUCCCCUUAGUCAGGGAAUGCGUCACACACUCAGCUGAAAAAAAAGAGUACUGUUUAAAAUGAUAUCCAGUAGAUUUGAAUUAGAAAAAUAGAUUUGUACUAGAAAACCCAAUAGAUUUUUAUUAGAAAAAUGCACCCCAGAAAGUUAACUUGUUUUCCCUCUAUUUUUAUGCUUUUAUGCCUUUGUUUAUGUAAAGGGUCCUUGGCAUAGGUGAAGGUUGCUGGCUUGAGAAGUUGGGGGCCAGGAGAGGCGGGCUGGUCAGCUGAGCAGCCACGUUUCACUUUUGGCUUGGAAUGGUUUUUAUUUGACAAGGCAAAAAUAUGCUGUCGCAGGGCACCUCGGUGCCUGCUCCUAGAGAGUGGAAACUGCCAGGGAGAGAGAGAGCGAGCCCUGGCAGGACAUAACGAGCCCAGCUGUGGGUUGUCAGGGAUAGAGCACCGCUGCGGGUUGCCGGGGCAUCUAGGGAGGGCCAGCUGUCUGCAGGAGGCAGGGCCUGGUCCUUAUAAAGCCCAGGGCUGAGGCCAGGCUGAGCAGCCGG
Molecule: long non-coding RNA, 5497 nt
Organism: Alligator mississippiensis (American alligator)
Lineage: Eukaryota; Metazoa; Chordata; Crocodylia; Alligatoridae
Exons: 5
Source: RefSeq, a predicted model, not a curated record